This 245-nucleotide long non-coding RNA is filed under the name Mytilus galloprovincialis (Mediterranean mussel). The record is from RNAcentral. Lineage: Eukaryota; Metazoa; Mollusca; Bivalvia; Mytilida; Mytilidae.
GUUUGUUAAGGAAAAAGUUUCAAAUGCCAAGGAUAACGAAAAUGAAUCAGAUGGUGUUAGUGCACAUACAAAGUGGGUUUUAACAUUAUGUGUAUAACGAAUGGAUCACAACGAUGCAAUUCAUAUGGGUGAUGGAUCAAGGAUAUCGAGAAUUGACCAGUUCCUCGUUUUGUACUCUAACUAUUGACAUUGUACAAAAUACGACUUUGGUACUUUUAGAAACUAUAGCCCAAACUGAAGUUUCG